This 253-nucleotide ribosomal RNA is filed under the name uncultured bacterium. Its description in RNAcentral is "partial 16S ribosomal RNA". It matches the Rfam family "Bacterial small subunit ribosomal RNA", at positions 524 to 776 of the family's 1533-position model. The record is from RNAcentral.
UACGGGGGGGGCAAGCGUUGUUCGGAAUUACUGGGCGUAAAGGGCUCGUAGGUGGCCAACUAAGUCAUACGUGAAAUCCCUCAGCUUAACUGGGGAACUGCGCCUGAUACUGGUUGGCUUGAGUUUGGGAGAGGGACGCGGAAUUCCAGGUGUAGCGGUGAAAUGCGUAGAUAUCUGGAGGAACACCGGUGGCGAAAGCGGCGUGCUGGACCUCUUCUGACGCUGAGGCGCGAAAGCUAGGGGAGCAAACGGG